ACAACGCUGGCGGCGUGCCUAAUACAUGCAAGUCGAACGGUCUUUUCUAUGGAAGCUUGCUUCCGCUGAGAAGAUAGUGGCGAACGGGUGAGUAACACGUGGGUAACCUGCCCAUAAGAGGGGGAUAACAUCCGGAAACGGGUGCUAAUACCGCAUAGUUUUCUUGAUCGCAUGAUUGAGAAAGGAAAGACGGCCUUUGUGCUGUCGCUUAUGGAUGGACCCGCGGCGUAUUAGUUAGUUGGUGAGGUAACGGCUCCACCAAGACGAUGAUACGUAGCCGACCUGAGAGGGUGAUCGGCCACAUUGGGACUGAGACACGGCCCAAACUCCUACGGGAGGCAGCAGUAGGGAAUCUUCCGCAAUGGACGAAAGUCUGACGGAGCAACGCCGCGUGAGUGAAGAAGGUUUUCGGAUCGUAAAACUCUGUUGUCAGAGAAGAACAAGUUGGAGAGUAACUGCUCCAGCCUUGACGGUAUCUGACCAGAAAGCCACGGCUAACUACGUG
This 505-nucleotide ribosomal RNA is filed under the name uncultured bacterium. Its description in RNAcentral is "bacterial SSU rRNA". It matches the Rfam family "Bacterial small subunit ribosomal RNA", at positions 32 to 507 of the family's 1533-position model. The record is from RNAcentral.